GAUGAACGUUAGCGACAGGCCUAACACAUGCAAGUCGAGGGGCAGCACAUGAGUAGCAAUACGAUGGUGGCGACCGGCGCACGGGUGAGUAACACGUAUGCAACCUGCCUGUAAGAGGGGGAUAACCCGGAGAAAUUCGGACUAAUACCGCAUAAUACCACGAGACUGCAUGGUUUUGUGGUUAAACAUUUAUGGCUUACAGAUGGGCAUGCGUAUGAUUAGAUAGUUGGUAGGGUAACGGCCUACCAAGUCUACGAUCAUUAGGGGUUCUGAGAGGAAGGUCCCCCACACUGGUACUGAGACACGGACCAGACUCCUACGGGAGCAGCAGUGAGGAAUAUUGGUCAAUGGGCAGAGCCUGAACCAGCCAAGUCGCGUGAAGGAAGAAGGUUCUAUGGAUUGUAAACUUCUUUUGCAGGGGAAUAAAGGACGGUACGUGUACUGUUUUGUAUGUACCUUGCGAAUAAGGAUCGGCUAACUCCGUGCCAGUCAGCCGGGUAAACACG
RNAcentral lists this ribosomal RNA (506 nucleotides) under uncultured bacterium. RNAcentral describes it as "bacterial SSU rRNA". It matches the Rfam family "Bacterial small subunit ribosomal RNA", at positions 28 to 527 of the family's 1533-position model. The record is from RNAcentral.